GGGUUGUGAGGUUAAGCGACUAAGCGUACACGGUGGAUGCCCUGGCAGUCAGAGGCGAUGAAGGGCGUGCUAAUCUGCGAUAAGCGCCGGUAAGGUGAUAUGAACCGUUAUAACCGGCGAUACCCGAAUGGGGAAACCCAGUGUGAUUCGUCACACUAUCAUUACGUGAAUACAUAGCGUAAUGAAGCGAACCGGGGGAACUGAAACAUCUAAGUACCCCGAGGAAAAGAAAUCAACCGAGAUUCCCCCAGUAGCGGCGAGCGAACGGGGAGGAGCCCAGAGCCUGAAUCAGCAUGUGUGUUAGUGGAAGCGUCUGGAAAGGCGCGCGAUACAGGGUGACAGCCCCGUACACAAAAGCGCAUGUGUUGUGAGCUCGAUGAGUAGGGCGGGACACGUGGUAUCCUGUCUGAAUAUGGGGGGACCAUCCUCCAAGGCUAAAUACUCCUGACUGACCGAUAGUGAACCAGUACCGUGAGGGAAAGGCGAAAAGAACCCCGGCGAGGGGAGUGAAAAAGAACCUGAAACCGUGUACGUACAAGCAGUGGGAGCACCCUUUGGGGUGUGACUGCGUACCUUUUGUAUAAUGGGUCAGCGACUUAUAUUCUGUAGCAAGGUUAACCGAAUAGGGGAGCCGGAGGGAAACCGAGUCUUAAUUGGGCGUUAAGUUGCAGGGUAUAGACCCGAAACCCGGUGAUCUAGCCAUGGGCAGGUUGAAGGUUGGGUAACACUAACUGGAGGACCGAACCGACUAAUGUUGAAAAAUUAGCGGAUGACCUGUGGCUGGGGGUGAAAGGCCAAUCAAACCGGGAGAUAGCUGGUUCUCCCCGAAAGCUAUUUAGGUAGCGCCUCGUGAACUCAUCUCCGGGGGUAGAGCACUGUUUCGGCUAGGGGGCCAUCCCGGCUUACCAACCCGAUGCAAACUGCGAAUACCGGAGAAUGUUAUCACGGGAGACACACGGCGGGUGCUAACGUCCGUCGUGAAGAGGGAAACAACCCAGACCGCCAGCUAAGGUCCCAAAGUCAUAGUUAAGUGGGAAACGAUGUGGGAAGGCCCAGACAGCCAGGAUGUUGGCUUAGAAGCAGCCAUCAUUUAAAGAAAGCGUAAUAGCUCACUGGUCGAGUCGGCCUGCGCGGAAGAUGUAACGGGGCUAAACUAUGCACCGAAGCUGCGGCAGCGACACUAUGUGUUGUUGGGUAGGGGAGCGUUCUGUAAGCCUGUGAAGGUGUGUCGUGAGGCAUGCUGGAGGUAUCAGAAGUGCGAAUGCUGACAUAAGUAACGAUAAAGCGGGUGAAAAGCCCGCUCGCCGGAAGACCAAGGGUUCCUGUCCAACGUUAAUCGGGGCAGGGUGAGUCGACCC
Molecule: ribosomal RNA, 1358 nt
Filed under: Salmonella enterica
Lineage: Bacteria; Pseudomonadati; Pseudomonadota; Gammaproteobacteria; Enterobacterales; Enterobacteriaceae
Description: partial 23S ribosomal RNA
Rfam family: Bacterial large subunit ribosomal RNA
Source: RNAcentral